Molecule: long non-coding RNA, 8229 nt
Filed under: Cucumis sativus (cucumber)
Lineage: Eukaryota; Viridiplantae; Streptophyta; Magnoliopsida; Cucurbitales; Cucurbitaceae
Description: long non-coding RNA (CSAT_LNC000307)
Source: RNAcentral
UCAUAAUCUCAACAAAAGAAAAAAGAAAGCUUCCAAUCUCAUUUUAUCUCCAUUACUUUCUACACCAAAAUUGGGUCCCACAACCCGGUUCUUUGUCUAGAGGAUAGCAGUUGAGUACUAGUGGUGGUCUCGGGUAGAAUUGGUAAGAAGACAUCAAACCUUUUGAAAGCUUCAAAGGUAAUACUUCUUAAAACCCUAAUUUGAUUAGUUUAUGGUUACAUGUUAAUUGUGGCAAUUAGGGUAGAAAUUCGAUUCUUUUUCCGCUGUGCAUGACUUAGUUCUAUCAUGUGGUAUCAGAGCAUGCUUCAUUUUUACCCAAUUGCAUGUGGUGGGUUCAUAUUUAUUAGAUAAAUUUUGGUUUGAACUAAAAUGGAUAUAUUAUGAUUUUGGCUCUAGAUUAAGUGUUUUUGUUCUAAUUAUUGUAAUUAGCCUUGUUAAUGGCUUAUUUUUAUUGUUGCAAAGUGUUUGUAAUUUUUUAAAAAAAUAAAAAAAGUCAUUAGAGUUGAAGCUAGGCUGUAAUUGGUUCAACCGGGUGAGAGAAUUGAAAAAAAUGAAGAAAAGAAGGUCACAGACCCGAAAACCCGGUUUUGACCCGCUUCGCGACCCGCACGCGCCCGCAUGCCCGCGCGCCCUCCUGCGCCCGCGCGCCCUCCUGCGCUCCUGCGUCCGCACGCGCCCCGCGCGCCCGCGCGCCCUCCUGCGCCCGCGCGCCCUCCUGCGCCCGCGCGCCUGCAUGCGCCCGCGCGCCCGCAUGUGCCGCGCGCCCGCAUGCGCCCGCGCGCCCGCAUGCGCCCGCGCGCCCGCCAUCGCCGCGCGCCCGCCUUCGCCCGCGCGCCUGCCUUCGCACGACCCGUGUGCGCCUGGGCCGGUUCAAGCCAAUAAAUUUGGUUUUUGGGCCGGUUCAAGCGGUUUCGGUUGGUUUUUUAGCCGGUUCGAAAUUUUUGGGAGUGGUUCUGUACUACACCAAAUUAAUUAUGUAAUAAUUUAGCACUUAGCUUAAUUUAGGAGCCAAAAAUCAGUCCAUUUUAGGGUGUUUUUUUUAUUUAUGCAUGUGAUGUAUGAUUAAAUUACUUUAAAUUUGUAUGUGCAUUUUGAAUGUCAUAUAGAUUUAAAAUCCCACCAUAGGUUAACAUGUUCAUGCAUUAAAAUGUAUGAUAUAAAGGUUAUAUUGUAUUGUAUGCAUGUUAAUUGAUUAAUAUGGAAAUUAAUUAAUAUGAUUAAUUAAUUAUUUAAUUAAUUAAGUUAUUCUUGAUUAAAUAUGAUUUAAUCAAAUUAAUUAAUUAUUGUUUGAUUUAAUUUAAUUAAAUAUGAUUUAAUUAAAGUUAAAUAAAUUAAAAUCCAUAUUAAUUGAUUGUUUUUAUUAUAUAUUGAUAAAAUGAUUGAUUAAGUUUAAAAGUUUUUAUAAGUGUUAUAAAAUAAAUUAGACUUUUAAAAUCAAUAACAAAGAUUAAAUGCAUGCUCACUUAGGUUAAACAUAUCUUCCAUUUUUCAUAGAAAUAGGUCGAUAUCUUGUAAAACUGGUUACAAAAGGCUCACCUGGUUCAAUCUUGUCAACAAGUCAGAUAAGAUGACUAAGGUUGGAGGUUCUUAAGUUGACGGUUUACGGAACACCUCCUACCUGGAGAUCGUAAUCAGUUCUUGAGCCUAGUUAACCUAGUUUUAUGAGCAUUCGUGAGAGGUGUGAGGUAAUAAAAAUGGUUUUUCACCUAGACAUCAUAGGUUAAAAUCCUGUAUAAUGGUUAUACUUGGAUGUUUUAUCUAGACUUAAGAUUUGUUUAAGUUAGCCUAAAUAUAAAUCUUGAAGUUUGGAUUACCCUAUUUUUUUCUUUUAGAACACUUCAACUAGAGAAAAAUAAUGUAUUUUAGCUCUAGUGUCCCUAAGAGUUCACACCGUGAGGUCCAUGCAGGGCUUUGUGCCGUGCAUAGGAGCGGCCUCCCUUCGGAGAGUGUUUGCAUGGAUCAAAAUCAAGGUGAAUAGGGGAAGUAGUUCAUAGUAAGUGGGUGAGGGAUUUGUGGCAGCACAUCCCACGGUCUCUUCCAUUAGGUCGCACCGUGAGAUUUCUAUAAUAUGCCUGCUUGUCUGCCCUGGAGCGACGUUCCCUUCGGAGGGUUGUAUUAUAGGAUUCGGAACACCGCGAACUCCAAAACUGGAUAGGAUUUCUUAGAUUAGUUUUCAUAAAUGAUUCUAAUCUAUAAAAUCUGAAAAUGGUGGGUAACACUUACAAGAAUUACUAAGUUGUUAGUAUAUUCUUGACUAAAGUAGCGAUAACUAAGUGCUAUAAAGAAUAAAGAGUUAUUCUUGAGAUAGCAUCUAGUCAAGAUUGUCUUGGUUCAAAGGAGGAAUAAUCAACUACCCUUCGGAGAAGGUUGUUCUAAACCUUUGAAAUAUUGUUGCAAAAUACAAAUAAUGAAAGGGUACAUUAUUAGUAAUUGCUAAAUUAGAUUGGAUAUUUUUUAUGAUUAUAGUUUUUUUCCUAAAAAGAAUAUGUUUGUUUUUCAGCAUGAAUAGCUCAAUAGUUCGACUUUUAGCUUCCGAAAAACUUAAUGGCGAUAAUUAUGCGGCUUGGAAAUCAAAUCUUAACACAAUACUAGUGGUUGGUGAUUUAAGAUUUGUCUUAACUGAGGAAUGUCCUCAAAACCCUGCCUCUAAUGAUAACCGAACUAGUCGGGAUGCAUAUGAUCGAUGGAUAAAAGCUAAUGAAAAAGCCCGUGUCUACAUUCUUGCCAGCAUGUCUGAUGUAUUGGCAAAGAAACAUGAAUCCUUAGCCACGGCUAAAGAGAUUAUGAAUUCAUUAAGGGGAAUGUUUGGGCAACCAGAAUUGUCCUUAAGACACGAGGCAGUCAAAUACAUUUACACUAAGCGUAUGAAGGAAGGGACCUCUGUUAGAGAACAUGUUCUGGACAUGAUGAUGCACUUCAACAUCGCUGAAGUGAAUGGUGGUCCCAUCGAAGAGGUUAAUCAAGUUAGUUUUAUCUUAGAGUCUCUUCCGAAGAGCUUCAUUCCAUUCCAAACGAAUGCGUCUUUGAACAAGAUAGAAUUUAACUUGACAACCCUUCUGAAUGAACUCCAGCGAUUCCAAAACCUUACUGUGGGUAAAGGAAAACAAGUGGAAGCAAAUGUUGCUACCACAAAAAGAAAAUUUAUAAGAGGAUCGUCCUCUAAAACCAAAGCUGGACCCUCAAAACCUAAUGCUCAAAUAAAAAAGAAGGGAAAGGGAAAGACUCCCAAACAGAACAAGGGUAAGAAAGGUGCAGAAAAAGGUAAGUGUUACCAUUGUGGCCAAAACGGGCACUGGUUAAGAAACUGCCCAAAAUACCUUGCAGAAAAAAAGGCAGAGAAGGAAACACAAGGUAAAUAUGAUUUACUAGUUGUAGAAACAUGUUUAGUGGAAUAUGAAAAUUGUACCUGGAUACUAGAUUCAGGAGCCACUAAACCAUAUUUGCUUCUCAUUUCAGGAAAAUAGUUCUUGAAAAAGCUUUCAGAAGGCGAGAUCACUCUCAAGGUUGGAACAGGAGAGAUGGUCUCAACUUCAGCAGUGGGAGAUUUAAAGUUGUUUUUUAGAGAUAGAUAUGUCAUACUUAAGAAUGUCUUAUAUGUACCUCAAAUGAAAAGAAAUUUAAUAUCUAUCUCUUGUAUUUUGGAACAAAUGUAUAGAAUAUCUUUUGAAAUUAAUGAAGCGUUCGUUUUCUAUAAAGGUAUUCUAGUUUGUUCUGCUAUACUUGAAGACAACUUAUAUAAGUUAAGACCAACUAGAGCAAAUUUUGUCUUAAAUACUGAAAUAUUCAGAACAGCUGAAAACUCAGAAUAAAAGACAAAAAGUUUCUUCUAAUGCCUAUUUAUGGCACUUAAGACUUGGUCACAUAAAUCUCAAUAGGAUUGGGAGAUUGGUUAAAAGUGGGCUUCUAAGUCCGUUAGAAGAUAACUCUUUACCUCCUUGUGAAUCUUGUCUUGAAGGAAAAAUGACCAAGAGAUCUUUUACUGGAAAAGGUCUAAGAGCCAAAGGACCCUUAGAGCUCGUACAUUCGGACCUUUGUGGACCAAUGAAUGUCAAAACUCGAGGUGGAUAUGAAUAUUUCAUUAGCUUCAUUGAUGAUUAUUCAAGGUAUGGUCAUAUUUACCUAAUACAUCAUAAGUCUAAUAGUCUUGAAAAGUUCAAAGAAUAUAAGGCUGAAGUAGAAAACGAAUUAGGUAAAACAAUAAAAAUACUUCGAUCAGAUCGAGGUGGAGAGUAUAUGGACUUACGAUUCCGAGACUAUUUAAUAGAAAAUGGAAUCCAGUCACAACUCUCUGCACCUAGUACACCUCAACAGAACGGUGUAUCAGAAAGAAGAAACUGGACCUUGUUAGACAUGGUUCGCUCUAUGAUGAGUUUUUCUCAGAUGUCAGAUUCUUUUUGGGAUAUGCUUUAGAAACAGCUGCUUAUAUUUUGAAUAAUGUUCCCUCUAAAAGUGUUUCAGAAACACCUUAUGAGCUAUGGAAAGGGCGUAAAGGCAGUUUACGUCAUUUUAAAAUUUGGGGUUGUCCAGCACAUGUGUUGGUACAAAAUCCAAAGAAAUUGGAACAUCGUUCAAAAUUAUGCUUUUUUAUAGGUUAUCCAAAAGAAUCAAGAGGUGGUUUGUUUUAUGAUCCUCAAGAAAAUAAAAUAUUUGUGUCAACAAAUGCCACAUUCUUAGAGGAAGACCACAUCAGGGAUCAUCAACCUCGUAGUAAACUAGUAUUUAAAGAAAUUUCCAAAAGUGCUAUAGAUAAAACCUAGUUCAUCCACUAAAGUAGUUGAUAAGACUAGGAAAUCUGGUCAAUCACAUCCUUCUCAACAGUUGAGAGAGCCUCGACGUAGUGGGAGGGUUGUUCAUCAGCCUGAUCGCUAUUUGGGUUUAAUUGAAACUCAAGUCGUCAUACCUGACGAUGGCAUAGAGGAUCCAUUAACCUAUAAACAGGCAAUGAAAGAUGUAGAUCGUGACCAAUGGAUCAAAGCCAUGGACCUCGAAAUGGAGUCUAUGUACUUUAAUUCUUUCUAGACUCUAGUAGAUCAACCAAAUGACGUAAAACCUAUUGGUUGUAAAUGGAUCUACAAGAGAAAACGAGACCAUGCCGGUAAAGUACAGACUUUUAAGGCUCGACUUGUGGCAAAGGGUUAUACCUAGAGAGAGGGAGUAGACUAGAGGAAACUUUCUCUCCCGUUGCCAUGUUAAAGUCAAUUAGAAUACUCUUAUCCAUCGCCACUUUUUAUGAUUAUGAAAUUUGGCAGAUGGAUGUCAAGACAGCUUUUUUGAACGGUAAUCUUGAAGAGAGUAUCUAUAUGUCUCAACCAGAGGGGUUUAUAAAACAAGAUCAAGAACAAAAGGUUUGUAAGCUUAAAAAAUCCAUUUAUGGAUUAAAACAAGCUUCUAGAUCCUGGAAUAUAAGAUUUGAUAUUGCGAUCAAAAUCUUAUGGCUUUGAACAAAAUGUUGACGAGCCUUGUGUUUACAAAAGGUCGUCAAUUCCAUUAUAGCAUUUUUUAGUCUUAUAUGUAGAUGAUAUUCUACUUAUUGGAAAUGACUAGGAUAUCUUCCUGAUAUCAAGAAAUGGCUAGCUAUGCAAUUUCAAAUGAAAGAUCUGGGAGAUGCACAAUACGUUCUCGGAAUCCAAAUUGUUCGAAACCGUAAGAACAAAACACUAGCCAUGUCUCAAGCAUCUUACAUAGACAAAAUGUUGUCUAGAUAUAAAAUGCAGAAUUCCAAAAAGGGUCUGCUGCCGUACAGAUAUGGAAUUCAUUUGUCAAAGGAACAAUGUCCUAAGACACCUCAAGAAGUUGAGGAUAUGAGAAAUAUUCCCUAUGCUUCCGCUGUUGGAAGUUUAAUGUAUGCAAUGUUAUGUACUAGACCUGACAUUUGCUACUCAGUAGGGAUGGUCAGUAGGUAUCAAUCCAAUCAUGGACGUGAUCACUGGACAGCCGUUAAAAACAUUCUACAUGCUCAUGUAUCGUACAAAGGAUCUGAUCCUUACUGGAUACACUGAUUCAGAUUUCCAAACUGAUAAAGAUGUUAGAAAGUCUACAUCAGAUCAGUAUUUACUCUAAAUGGAGGAGCAGUAGUUUGGAGAAGCAUAAAGCAAACUUGUAUAGCUGAUUCCACAAUGGAAGCUGAUCAUUUUACAAAAGCCCUCACGGCUAAAGUGUUUGAGGGUCACCUACACAGUUUAGGUGUACGAUGUUUGUAAACUAGGACAAGUGGGAGACUUAUUGGCCAUGUGCCCUAGUUUCAUAUAUAUUCUCUCACACCACAUCUCUCAUACCACUAGGAAUUUUAGUCCAAGUGGGAGUUUGUUGGAAUUUUUUGUCCUAAAACUCGUAGUUUGUAAAUCAUAUUCUAUUCAAUAAAGUUGUUAUUGAGAAAUUAAAUAUUAUAAUCUUAAAUCCAAUAAAUCAAAGUUCCAAGGCUAUUUUUUGAAUAAACUUGAACUUUAUGUGUAAACAUAAACGUGGAUCAAGUUCGAGUAUAUAGCCUAAAUAGUCUAUAGUAUAUGAAAUAAAGGUUGGGCGCCUUAUUUUGAGAGACUAUGGAUGCGGCCCACUUUGUAGUACAAACGAUGUGAUCCUAAUCGUUCAUGUAGAGACAUGAAAGUGGGGGCAUCCUAUGUAAAAUGUUUACAUAAGACUGAACCAUGAAUUAGUCAUUUUUACGUUAUAACACCGUUUACUGUUUAAAACUGACUAUCUCAAUUAUUGAUGACCUAGGUAACUUAGUCUUAAUCCUGAGUUAACUAUGAACUCCUGUUCAUACGAGAUUAUCCUUAGAUCUGCAUAGGUGAGGGCAGCUCAUCAGCGUUGGCCCAAUAAGCCUCCCAUUUCAGGGGUAAGAUCGGGUGGAUAGCUGGGAACAUAGGGUACAAGAUGGAAUUCACUCCUACCCGCUUUAGGGUUAGUAGAUAGGUUGCUCUCUUAAGCACUGAAUCCAAGUCUUGAACAAGGGGCCCCACCCUCUCAUUGGCCCGAGAGGGAUUAAGUUUAUAGGUUGAACCUUAAACCAAUUGUUCAAUAGUGGAUUAGUGGGACUUAAGGAGCAAGAUGUAAUCUUGGGGGUAAAACGGUAUUUUGACCCAGCCAAGGUUACGAGCAACCUGUGAAGGAUUAACUUACUGAUUAUGGUUUUAUCAAAUGGACACAAAUAUAUCUAUAGUGAGGGGAGUGCAACUACGGGACUUUAGUGGAAUGACCCGUUAGUUAACGAAUGUUGAUUAACUCGGUUUAAAAGAGUUUAGCUAGUUAAUCUUGAAUCGUUGGAGCCCAUGAUCUAUAGGUCCAUUAGGUUCCUCUGCUAGCUCAUAUGGAUUAAACUUAGAACAGUGUGAUGAAAUAAGUCGAAUUGUUCGAAUAGGGAGAAGAAAGGAAAACCGACAUAUACAGUGAUAUAAUCGUCGGUCUUCUAAUUAGAAAUAGAGCUUUAUGUUUUACAUACUAUAAGUAUGAAUGCGGAUUCAUACUAAGAAGCUCGGAAUUGGUCAAAAAUAGUAAAAAGUCAAAAUGUUGACUUUUGACUUUGAAAAGUCAAACUUUGACCGGCCUUAUAUUCAAAUGUGAUUUGAAUUUUGGAAAAAUGAAUGCGGAUUCAUGCUCGGGAGGUUGGAAUUAGUCAAGACGGACAAAAUGGUAAAAAGUCAAAAUAUUGACUUUUGACUUAGAAAAGUCAAAGUUUGACUUUUGACUAGAAAAAUCUAAUGACCAUUUUACCCUUGGACUAAGUUAGUGGGAAAAUCCAACAUUUUGUUGGAUAAUCCCACUAACUCUUAGUGGGAUAUGUGGCUAUAUGAGAUAUAGACACCUAGCCCACUAAGUUCCACUAAUUGUUAGUGGAAUAUUAGGUGUUGAGAUUUGGCAAUUGAAUUGCAUGCAUUUUUGCAUGUAAUUAGGCUAUAAAUAGAGAUGUUUUCAAAUGUUGAAGGACUUUUGCCUCUUUUAUCAUUUUCAUAAUCUCAACAAAAGAAAAAAGAAAGCUUCCAAUCUCAUUUUAUCUCCAUUACUUUCUACACCAAAAUUGGGUCCCACAACCCGGUUCUUUGUCUAGAGGAUAGCAGUUGAGUACUAGUGGUGGUCUCGGGUAGAAUUGGUAAGAAGACAUCAAACCUUUUGAAAGCUUCAAAGGUAAUACUUCUUAAAACCCUAAUUUGAUUAGUUUAUGGUUAGAUGUUAAUUGUGGCAAUUAGGGUAGAAAUUCGAUUCUUUUUCCGCUGUGCAUGAAUUAGUUCUAUC